CAACAGGGAUUGCCUCAGUAACGGCGAGUGAAGCGGCAACAGCUCAAAUUUGAAAUCUGGCGCAAGCCCGAGUUGUAAUUUGUAGAGGAUGCUUCUGGGUCGCGGCCGGUCUAAGUUCCUUGGAACAGGACGUCACAGAGGGUGAGAAUCCCGUAUGUGAUCGGCUUGCACCCUCCACGUAGCUCCUUCGACGAGUCGAGUUGUUUGGGAAUGCAGCUCUAAAUGGGAGGUAAAUGUCUUCUAAAGCUAAAUACCGGCCAGAGACCGAUAGCGCACAAGUAGAGUGAUCGAAAGAUGAAAAGCACUUUGGAAAGAGAGUUAAAAAGCACGUGAAAUUGUUGAAAGGGAAGCGCAUGCAACCAGACUUGUCGGCGGUGUUCCGCCGGUCUUCUGACCGGUCUACUCGCCGCCGACAGGCCAGCAUCGUCUGGGCGCGCCGGAGAAAGGCGCCGGGAAUGUAGCUCCUCGGAGUGUUAUAGCCCGGCGCACAAUACGGCGCCGCCCGGGCGAGGUCCGCGCUUCGGCUAGGAUGCUGGCGUAAUGGUUGCCUGCGACCCGUCUUGAAACACGGACCAAGGAGUCGACCAUCUGUGCGAGUGUUCGGGUGUCAAACCCCUACGCGUAAUGAAAGUGAACGGAGGUGGGAACGCAAGUGCACCAUCGACCGAUCCUGAUGUCCUCGGAUGGAUUUGAGUAAGAGCAUAGCUGGUCGGACCCGAAAGAUGGUGAACUAUGCCUGAAUAGGGUGAAGCCAGAGGAAACUCUGGUGGAGGCUCGCAGCGGUUCUGACGUGCAAAUCGAUCGUCAAAUUUGGGUAUAGGGGCGAAAGACUAAUCGAACCAUUAACCUAACCUACUAGGUGGUUAAGAGAUCAUUGGAUAUCUAGUCGGCUUCGGCCGCGAUACCGUCAAAUUGCGGGCACUUCUCGGAUCGCUUCGUCGACCGUCGGCCGGCCGAAAGGCUGAGUUCGACACCUCACUUUGCCGUGAGGGUAGGGUUGACGGGGCGAGAGAACACCUCGCAGCCAAGUCCGUCUCCACCCCCCGGGGUGGACGGACGCAGUCCACAGACUAAACGGCGGUGGGCGCCCCCCCGGGGCGUCUCAGAGAUAGUCGAAUCACACCUUCACCGGUGUGCACCUCAAUAA
RNAcentral lists this ribosomal RNA (1147 nucleotides) under Devriesia thermodurans. RNAcentral's name for it is "LSU rRNA". It matches the Rfam family "Eukaryotic large subunit ribosomal RNA", at positions 66 to 1407 of the family's 3401-position model. The record is from RNAcentral. Lineage: Eukaryota; Fungi; Ascomycota; Dothideomycetes; Mycosphaerellales; Teratosphaeriaceae.